UUAAGCGACUAAGCGUACACGGUGGAUGCCCUGGCAGUCAGAGGCGAUGAAGGACGUGCUAAUCUGCGAAAAGCGUCGGUAAGGUGAUAUGAACCGUUAUAACCGGCGAUGUCCGAAUGGGGAAACCCAGUGCAAUUCGUUGCACUAUCGUUAACUGAAUACAUAGGUUAACGAGGCGAACCGGGGGAACUGAAACAUCUAAGUACCCCGAGGAAAAGAAAUCAACCGAGAUUCCCCCAGUAGCGGCGAGCGAACGGGGAGCAGCCCAGAGUCUGAAUCAGCUUGUGUGUUAGUGGAACGGUCUGGAAAGUCCGACGGUACAGGGUGAUAGUCCCGUACACCAAAAUGCACAGGCUGUGAACUCGAAGAGUAGGGCGGGACACGUGGUAUCCUGUCUGAAUAUGGGGGGACCAUCCUCCAAGGCUAAAUACUCCUGACUGACCGAUAGUGAACCAGUACCGUGAGGGAAAGGCGAAAAGAACCCCGGCGAGGGGAGUGAAAAAGAACCUGAAACCGUGUACGUACAAGCAGUGGGAGCACCUUCGGGUGUGACUGCGUACCUUUUGUAUAAUGGGUCAGCGACUUAUAUUCUGUAGCAAGGUUAACCGUAUAGGGGAGCCGCAGGGAAACCGAGUCUUAACUGGGCGUUAAGUUGCAGGGUAUAGACCCGAAACCCGGUGAUCUAGCCAUGGGCAGGUUGAAGGUUGGGUAACACUAACUGGAGGACCGAACCGACUAAUGUUGAAAAAUUAGCGGAUGACUUGUGGCUGGGGGUGAAAGGCCAAUCAAACCGGGAGAUAGCUGGUUCUCCCCGAAAGCUAUUUAGGUAGCGCCUCGUGAAUUCAUCUUCGGGGGUAGAGCACUGUUUCGGCUAGGGGGUCAUCCCGACUUACCAACCCGAUGCAAACUACGAAUACCGAAGAAUGUUAUCACGGGAGACACACGGCGGGUGCUAACGUCCGUCGUGAAGAGGGAAACAACCCAGACCGCCAGCUAAGGUCCCAAAGUCAUGGUUAAGUGGGAAACGAUGUGGGAAGGCACAGACAGCCAGGAUGUUGGCUUAGAAGCAGCCAUCAUUUAAAGAAAGCGUAAUAGCUCACUGGUCGAGUCGGCCUGCGCGGAAGAUGUAACGGGGCUAAACCAUGCACCGAAGCUGCGGCAGCGACACUAUGUGUUGUUGGGUAGGGGAGCGUUCUGUAAGCCUGCGAAGGUGACCUGUGAGGGUUGCUGGAGGUAUCAGAAGUGCGAAUGCUGACAUAAGUAACGAUAAAGCGGGUGAAAAGCCCGCUCGCCGGAAGACCAAGGGUUCCUGUCCAACGUUAAUCGGGGCAGGGUGAGUCGACCCCUAAGGCGAGGCCGAAAGGCGUAGUCGAUGGGAAACAGGUUAAUAUUCCUGUACUUGGUGUUACUGCGAAGGGGGGACGGAGAAGGCUAUGUUAGCCGGGCGACGGUUGUCCCGGUUUAAGCAUGUAGGCUGGUUGUCCAGGCAAAUCCGGAUAAUCAAGGCUGAGGUGUGAUGACGAGGCACUACGGUGCUGAAGUAACAAAUGCCCUGCUUCCAGGAAAAGCCUCUAAGCAUCAGGUAACAUCAAAUCGUACCCCAAACCGACACAGGUGGUCAGGUAGAGAAUACCAAGGCGCUUGAGAGAACUCGGGUGAAGGAACUAGGCAAAAUGGUGCCGUAACUUCGGGAGAAGGCACGCUGGUGUGUAGGUGAAGUCCCUGCGGAUGGAGCUGAGACCAGUCGAAGAUACCAGCUGGCUGCAACUGUUUAUUAAAAACACAGCACUGUGCAAACACGAAAGUGGACGUAUACGGUGUGACGCCUGCCCGGUGCCGGAAGGUUAAUUGAUGGGGUUAUCCGUAAGGAGAAGCUCUUGAUCGAAGCCCCGGUAAACGGCGGCCGUAACUAUAACGGUCCUAAGGUAGCGAAAUUCCUUGUCGGGUAAGUUCCGACCUGCACGAAUGGCGUAAUGAUGGCCAGGCUGUCUCCACCCGAGACUCAGUGAAAUUGAACUCGCUGUGAAGAUGCAGUGUACCCGCGGCAAGACGGAAAGACCCCGUGAACCUUUACUAUAGCUUGACACUGAACAUUGAGCCUUGAUGUGUAGGAUAGGUGGGAGGCUUUGAAGCGUGGACGCCAGUCUGCGUGGAGCCAACCUUGAAAUACCACCCUUUAAUGUUUGAUGUUCUAACGUUGGCCCCUUACCGGGGUUGCGGACAGUGUCUGGUGGGUAGUUUGACUGGGGCGGUCUCCUCCCAAAGCGUAACGGAGGAGCACGAAGGUUAGCUAAUCCUGGUCGGACAUCAGGAGGUUAGUGCAAUGGCAUAAGCUAGCUUGACUGCGAGCGUGACGGCGCGAGCAGGUGCGAAAGCAGGUCAUAGUGAUCCGGUGGUUCUGAAUGGAAGGGCCAUCGCUCAACGGAUAAAAGGUACUCCGGGGAUAACAGGCUGAUACCGCCCAAGAGUUCAUAUCGACGGCGGUGUUUGGCACCUCGAUGUCGGCUCAUCACAUCCUGGGGCUGAAGUAGGUCCCAAGGGUAUGGCUGUUCGCCAUUUAAAGUGGUACGCGAGCUGGGUUUAGAACGUCGUGAGACAGUUCGGUCCCUAUCUGCCGUGGGCGCUGGAGAAUUGAGGGGGGCUGCUCCUAGUACGAGAGGACCGGAGUGGACGCAUCACUGGUGUUCGGGUUGUCAUGCCAAUGGCACUGCCCGGUAGCUAAAUGCGGAAGAGAUAAGUGCUGAAAGCAUCUAAGCACGAAACUUGCCCCGAGAUGAGUUCUCCCUGAGACUUUAAGUCUCCUGAAGGAACGUUGAAGACGACGACGUUGAUAGGCCGGGUGUGUAAGCGCAGCGAUGCGUUGAGCUAACCGGUACUAAUGAACCGUGAGGCUUAACCUU
RNAcentral lists this ribosomal RNA (2900 nucleotides) under Klebsiella pneumoniae. RNAcentral's name for it is "bacterial LSU rRNA". It matches the Rfam family "Bacterial large subunit ribosomal RNA". The record is from RNAcentral. Lineage: Bacteria; Pseudomonadati; Pseudomonadota; Gammaproteobacteria; Enterobacterales; Enterobacteriaceae.